GAUGAACGCUGGCGGCGUGCUUAACACAUGCAAGUCGAACGGGAAACUUUUCAUUGAAGCUUCGGCAGAUUUGGUCUGUUUCUAGUGGCGGACGGGUGAGUAACGCGUGGGUAACCUGCCUUAUACAGGGGGAUAACAACCAGAAAUGGCUGCUAAUACCGCAUAAGCGCACAGGACCGCAUGGCCCGGUGUGAAAAACUCCGGUGGUAUAAGAUGGACCCGCGUUGGAUUAGCUAGUUGGCAGGGUAACGGCCUACCAAGGCGACGAUCCAUAGCCGGCCUGAGAGGGUGAACGGCCACGUUGGGACUGAGAUACGGCCCAGACUCCUACGGGAGGCAGCAGUGGGGAAUAUUGGGCAAUGGGGGAAACCCUGACCCAGCAACGCCGCGUGAAGGAAGAAGGCUUUCGGGUGUAAACUUCUUUUACCAGGGACGAAGGACGUGACGGUACCU
Molecule: ribosomal RNA, 453 nt
Filed under: uncultured bacterium
Lineage: Bacteria
Description: bacterial SSU rRNA
Rfam family: Bacterial small subunit ribosomal RNA
Source: RNAcentral